AUUGAACGCUGGCGGCAGGCCUAACACAUGCAAGUCGAACGGUAGCACAGAGAGCUUGCUCUUGGGUGACGAGUGGCGGACGGGUGAGUAAUGUCUGGGAAACUGCCCGAUGGAGGGGGAUAACUACUGGAAACGGUAGCUAAUACCGCAUAACGUCGCAAGACCAAAGUGGGGGACCUUCGGGCCUCACACCAUCGGAUGUGCCCAGAUGGGAUUAGCUAGUAGGUGGGGUAAUGGCUCACCUAGGCGACGAUCCCUAGCUGGUCUGAGAGGAUGACCAGCCACACUGGAACUGAGACACGGUCCAGACUCCUACGGGAGGCAGCAGUGGGGAAUAUUGCACAAUGGGCGCAAGCCUGAUGCAGCCAUGCCGCGUGUAUGAAGAAGGCCUUCGGGUUGUAAAGUACUUUCAGCGAGGAGGAAGGUGUUGUAGUUAAUAGCUGCAGCAAUUGACGUUACUCGCAGAAGAAGCACCGGCUAACUCCGUGCCAGCCGCCGCAGUAA
This 504-nucleotide ribosomal RNA is filed under the name uncultured bacterium. Its description in RNAcentral is "partial 16S ribosomal RNA". It matches the Rfam family "Bacterial small subunit ribosomal RNA", at positions 30 to 523 of the family's 1533-position model. The record is from RNAcentral.